GACGAACGCUGGCGGCGUGCCUAAUACAUGCAAGUCGAGCGGAUCUUCAUUAGCUUGCUUUUGAAGACCAGCGGCGGACGGGUGAGUAACACGUGGGCAACCUGCCUGUAAGACUGGGAUAACUUCGGGAAACCGGAGCUAAUACCGGAUAAUCCUUUCCCUCACAUGAGGGAAAGCUGAAAGACGGUUUCGGCUGUCACUUACAGAUGGGCCCGCGGCGCAUUAGCUAGUUGGUGAGGUAAUGGCUCACCAAGGCGACGAUGCGUAGCCGACCUGAGAGGGUGAUCGGCCACACUGGGACUGAGACACGGCCCAGACUCCUCCGGGAGGCAGCAGUAGGGAAUCUUCCGCAAUGGACGAAAGUCUGACGGAGCAACGCCGCGUGAGCGAUGAAGGCCUUCGGGUCGUAAAGCUCUGUUGUCAGGGAAGAACAAGUAUCGGAGUAACUGCCGGUACCUUGACGGUACCUGACCAGAAAGCCACGGCUAACUACGUGCCAGCAGCCGCGGUAA
Molecule: ribosomal RNA, 512 nt
Filed under: uncultured bacterium
Lineage: Bacteria
Description: partial 16S ribosomal RNA
Rfam family: Bacterial small subunit ribosomal RNA
Source: RNAcentral